CGCCUCUGCACAGGACAAACAGGAAGAGAUGGGAGAUGCAUGAAGACACACAUCCUACACAAACACUGAAGAGUGCGUACCUCAAGAGCAGCCACUACAUAAUAGUGACAACUGCCCUCACAGCUCAGAAAACUGAUUCUCACAAGACUAAGCAUCGCCAGAGUUUUUCUGAUUCCAAAAGUGUCUUAAUCCUCAGAACUGUCCCUCUGAAACUGAAUAUUCACUGAUGCUAGCCAACGAGCCAGAUGAAAAAUGCAUCCAAACCUCUAUUUGCCAAACCAGUCUUUGAACCAAACUCCACAGAAGAUAGUGCUAAUCAACUAGAGGGAGUGCCUCUAAAGACUGAGCCUUCAUGCACAGACACAGAGCACAGAGGUACAGAAGAGAGUUCAACUCAAAUAGGAUGGGAAUUCCUAUCUCGUCUACUAUGAUCUGCUCUUUGCAGGCAGAGAUGGGUCCCACUGUGACUUGGGAGUCUGGUUACCAGUUUGCCUUCCUAUUGCUGUUUGAGCACUGUGCACCAGGCAGAAUUUCUGAAUCAUCAUCUCGGGACCUCCAGGAGAGAGAAGCUGGAGUCACCAACUCAGUGUGAAGCUUCCAGACUCUGGGUCUGGAUCAGGACCAUUACCCCAAAGUGAGGGUCUCUGUGGUAGAAAAAUCUCCUGCCAAAUUCAAAUUCCUCUGCUCCGGUCACAUGGUACCAAGGAGGAUUUCUCAAGACGGUAUCUUUGAGCUCUGUGUUCAUGAGCCAUAC
This 754-nucleotide long non-coding RNA is filed under the name Rattus norvegicus (Norway rat). RNAcentral describes it as "long non-coding RNA NONRATT004718". The record is from RNAcentral. Lineage: Eukaryota; Metazoa; Chordata; Mammalia; Rodentia; Muridae.